CCUACGGGGGGCUGUAGUGGGGAAUAUUGGACAAUGGGGGCAACCCUGAUCCAGCCAUGCCGCGUGUGUGAAGAAGGCCCUCGGGUUGUAAAGCACUUUCAGUGAGGAAGAACGCCUGGUGGUUAAUACCCAUCAGGAAAGACAUCACUCACAGAAGAAGCACCGGCUAACUCCGUGCCAGCAGCCGCGGUAAUACGGAGGGUGCGAGCGUUAAUCGGAAUUACUGGGCGUAAAGCGCGCGUAGGUGGCUUGAUAAGCCGGUUGUGAAAGCCCCGGGCUCAACCUGGGAACGGCAUCCGGAACUGUCAAGCUAGAGUGCAGGAGAGGAAGGUAGAAUUCCCGGUGUAGCGGUGAAAUGCGUAGAGAUCGGGAGGAAUACCAGUGGCGAAGGCGGCCUUCUGGACUGACACUGACGCUGAGGUGCGAAAGCGUGGGUAGCGAACAGGAUUAGAUACCCCAGUAGUC
This 465-nucleotide ribosomal RNA is filed under the name Vreelandella stevensii. RNAcentral's name for it is "partial 16S ribosomal RNA". It matches the Rfam family "Bacterial small subunit ribosomal RNA", at positions 338 to 795 of the family's 1533-position model. Lineage: Bacteria; Pseudomonadati; Pseudomonadota; Gammaproteobacteria; Oceanospirillales; Halomonadaceae. The record is from RNAcentral.